This 396-nucleotide long non-coding RNA is filed under the name Mytilus galloprovincialis (Mediterranean mussel). The record is from RNAcentral. Lineage: Eukaryota; Metazoa; Mollusca; Bivalvia; Mytilida; Mytilidae.
UAAUGUGGUCAGAGACCACAAUUAUUUCGUAGUGCAUUUCUUUCAGAAUAUAAAUGAAAAUUUUAAAAAUCCCACCUGCGCUUUCUCAAUGAAAUUUUUACAGUGUAUUGUACUACUUUUGGGACAAAUAAUAUCAAAAUUAUAGAAAACUUCAUCGGCUCUAACUCAAAUUAUGGACAAUUUUAUGUUUAGGGUGUCUUGAAAUCUUUUGACAGCUUCCGAAGUGCUAAUUUUUAACCUUUUUCAGCUGGACCAAAUCACUACUUUCCUUUAAAAUUCUGGAUCCGAAUUUUUUUAGUGUAAAUUCAUCCCCCUACUUGCAAUUUGAGGCAUUAAACAUGGAGAAAUAAAUAUCGAAGGGGUAUUAAAAUUAAUGGCAAGUAAUCCACUGUCAAC